GUAUAAGUUGUUACGAGCACACGGUGGAUGCCUUGGCAUCAGGAGCUGAUGAAGGACGUGGAAAUAUGCGAUAAGCCUGGGGAGCUGAUAAACGAGCUGUGAUCCGAGAGUUCUGCCGAAUGUGGGUAACCCGGCUGCGUGUUAUGCGUAGUCACUCGUAUCUAAAUUCAUGGGUGCGAGGAGGAACGUGGGGAAGUGAAACAUCUCAGUACCCAUAGGAAGAGAAAACAACAGUCAUUCCGUGAGUAGUGGCGAGCAGAAAGCGGAUGGUGGCUAAACCGGUUGUGUGUGAUACCUGGCGAGGGUUGCAUGAUCGGGGUUGUGGGAUGCGUUGUUCCUGGGGUCGCCACCCUCGGGCGCUGUGGCGUGGUGGUAGUCGAACUGGUGGUGAGUGCCAGACCGUAGGGGGUGUGAGUCCCGUAGACAGAAACUGUCAUUGUCGUAGUAACAUUCUCCCGAGUAGCACGGGGCCCGUGAAAUCUCGUGAAUCUGCAGGACCACCUGGUAAGCCUGAAUACUUCCUGAUGACCGAUAGCGGAUCAGUACCGUGAGGGAAUGGUGAAAGGUUCCCCGGGAGGGGAGUGCAAUCGUACCUGAAACCGUGUGCUUACAAGCCGUUGGAGCCUUUAGGGUGACAGCGUCCCUUUGAAGAAUGAGCCUGCGAGUUAGUGUUACGUCGCGAGAUUAACCGUGUGGGGUAGUCGUAGCGAAAGCGAGUCUGAAUAGGGCGUUGUGAGUGGCGUGAUCUGACCCGAAGCGGGUGAUCUACCCAUGGCCAGGUUGAAGCGCGUGUAAGAGCGCGUGGAGGACCGAACCCACUUCAGUUGAAAAUGGAGAGAUAAGCUGUGGGUAGGGGUGAAAGGCCAAUCAAACUCCGUGAUAGCUGGUUCUCCCCGAAAUGCAUUUCGGUGCAGCGUUGCGUGUGCUUGCUGGAGGUAGAGCUACUGGAUGGCUGAUGGGCCCUACAAGGUUACUGACGUCAACCAAACUCCGAAUGCCAGUAAGUUGAGCGCGGCAGUGAGACUGGGUACGCCAUAGUCGAAAGGGAAACGGCCCAACCAUCAACUGAGGGCCUAAGCGUGUGCUAAGUGGGAAAGGAUGUGGAGUUGCUUCGUGGAGUUCGCCACACAAUGAGGAGGUUGGCUCAGCAGCUCACCCUCGAAAGAGUGCGUAUAGCUCACUGGUUAAGCGAUCCGCGCCGAUAAUGUAGCGGGGCUCAAGUACACCGCCGAAGUUGUGGCAUGACACCGUAUAGCCAGCCGUUCGUGGUUGAGGUGGUGUUGCGGGGAGGGUAGCGUCGUCUGGGUAGUGAGCUGCGGGGUGACCCGAGUGGUGGAACCUCAACGAGUGAGAAUGCAGGCACGAGUAGCGAUAGACGGUGAUAGAAACCCGCUCCGCCGGAUGAUCAAGGGUUCCAGGGUCAAGCGCACUCGCCUGGGUGAGUCGGGACCUAAGGCGAGGCCGACAGGCGUAGUCGAUGGACAACGGGUUGAUAUUCCCUACCCACGAAGAACCGACCCGACCCCAACCGGCACACUAACCACCCAACCACCAUGACCGUCCGCCCUCGCGGUACGCGGGUGUGCGGGGAGCGUGGACCGAUCCGGGAGGUAAACGUGUUAACAGGUGUGACGCGAGGAAGGUAGCCGAGCCAGGGCGAUGGUUGUCCCUGGGCUGCAAGCAUGAGGGGUGACCCGUUGGUAAAUCCUGCGGUUGUGUGCCGACACGUGAUGGACUCUAGGUGAGGAAAUUGGCGACCUAUGCUGCCAAGAAAGCAUCGACGUGAGGUUCUACUGCCGUACCCCAAACUGACACAGGUGAUCAGGUAGAGAAUACUAAGGCGUUCGAGAGAAUCAUGGUUAGCAAUUGUAAACGCCCCGUAACUUCGGGAGAAGGGGGCCCGUCUGGUGAGCACACGUGCUGUGAGUGGUGGGGUCGCAGAGGCUAGGGCAAGCCGACUGUUUAUCAAAAACACAGGUCCGCGCGAAGUCGUAAGACGAUGUAUACGGACUCACUCCUGCCCGGUGCUGGAGGUUUAAAGAGGACCUGUUAGACCCUUGGGUCGAAGCGGUAAUCCAAGCCCCAGUACGGUGGUGGCAACGAUAACCACCGAAGGUAGCGAAAUUCCUUGUCGGUAAGUUCCGACCUGCACGAAUGGAAGACCACUUCCCACUGUCUAACCAUGGAACUCGGCGAAAUUGCAGUACGAGUAGACGCUCGUUCGCGCAGCAGGACGGAAAGACCCCGAGACCUUUAUCGGUGUUGCGCUGCCGUGGCAGCAGCCUAGGUUGCCAAGCUAUCACGCUAGUGGUGGUGGAGUUGUUGUUGAAUAUGACUUGUUACUUGGACAUCUAACUUCGGCCCCGUGAUCGGGUCAGGACAGUGCCUGAUGGUAGUUUAACUUGGCGUGGUUGCCCGGAGAGUAAUGGUGCCCCUAAAGGUUCCCUAGCUGGUCUGGCAAUCAGGUGUUGAGUGUAAGUGCACAAGGAAGCUCCACUGCUAGAGUGACAGCUCAGCAGGGAGAAGUCGGGACUAGUGAUCCGGCGGUACAUUGUGGAAUGGCCGUCGCUUACGGAUAAAAGGUACCUCGGGGGAUAACAGGCUGAUCUUGCCCAAGAGUCGAUAUCGACGGAAUGGUCUGGUACCUCGAUGUCGGCUGGUCGAUCUGGGGCUGGAGUUGGUCCUCAAAGGGUUGGCUGGCUCGCCCAUUAAAGCGGUACGCGAGUGGAAGUUCGAUAAAACGCCGCUGUACAGUUCGGUCCCUAUCCGCUGCGUGCGUUGGAAAUUUGUGGAGGCCUGUCCUUAGUACGAUAACUGGGGCAACGGACCAACCUCUGGUAUGUCAGUUGUCGCCAGGGAGCAUCGCCUGAUUAGCUACGUUCGGGAUUGAUAACCGCUGAAAGCAUCUAAGCGGGAAGCUUGCUCCGAGAUGAGAUUUCCUAACCCCCACUGAGGGGUGUGAGGUGCCCAGUACAAUGACUUGGGGUCGAUAAGCCGUAGGUGUGGAAGCGUUGCAAGGCGUGGAGCCUACUGGUAAUCAAUACACCGAAGACUUAUACAC
RNAcentral lists this ribosomal RNA (3061 nucleotides) under Kocuria rhizophila. RNAcentral's name for it is "23S ribosomal RNA". It matches the Rfam family "Bacterial large subunit ribosomal RNA". The record is from RNAcentral. Lineage: Bacteria; Bacillati; Actinomycetota; Actinomycetes; Micrococcales; Micrococcaceae.